Molecule: ribosomal RNA, 393 nt
Filed under: uncultured bacterium
Lineage: Bacteria
Description: bacterial SSU rRNA
Rfam family: Bacterial small subunit ribosomal RNA
Source: RNAcentral
AACGAACGCUGGCGGCAUGCCUAACACAUGCAAGUCGAACGAGACCUUCGGGUCUAGUGGCGCACGGGUGCGUAACGCGUGGGAACCUGCCUUUAGGUUCGGAAUAACUCAGAGAAAUUUGAGCUAAUACCGGAUAAUGUCUUCGGACCAAAGAUUUAUCGCCUUUAGAUGGGCCCGCGUUGGAUUAGCUAGUUGGUGGAGGUAAAAGCUCCCCAAGGCGACGAUCAGUAGCUGGUCUGAGAGGAUGAUCAGCCACACUGGGACUGAGACACGGCCCAGACUCCUACGGGAGGCAGCAGUGGGAAUAUUGGACAAUGGGCGAAAGCCUGAUCCAGCAAUGCCGCGUGAGUGAUGAAGGCCUUCGGUCGUAAGACUCGUUUACCUAGGGAUGAU